Molecule: ribosomal RNA, 253 nt
Filed under: uncultured bacterium
Lineage: Bacteria
Description: partial 16S ribosomal RNA
Rfam family: Bacterial small subunit ribosomal RNA
Source: RNAcentral
GACGUAGGAUGCAAAAGUUGUAGGGAUUUAUUGGGUUUAAAGGGUGCGUAGGCGGCCUAUUCAGUUUGUGAUGAAAACGUUCGGCUUAACCGGUUUCCCGCCAUUGAUACUGAUAGACUUGAGUGCGACAGAGGGUGUUGGAAUGUGUGGUGUAGCGGUGAAAUGCUUAGAUAUCACGCAGAACACCAAUUGCGAAGGCAGAUGCCUAUGUCGUAACUGACGCUGAGGCACGAAAGCGUGGGGAGCAAACAGG